This 2207-nucleotide long non-coding RNA is filed under the name Marmota monax (woodchuck). The record is from RNAcentral. Lineage: Eukaryota; Metazoa; Chordata; Mammalia; Rodentia; Sciuridae.
GGAAUGCUUCCUUGCUUGUCCUCAGACCAAAAUAGGUAGCAAAAAUUUAAUUCAACCAGGGCCUCAGAUCCUUUAAUAUACAUAGCUGGAUUAAUGAAUCUUCAAAUUCCUAAAAUUCAGACUAGGAUUUCGUGUGUUUUAUAUUCAUGUGUCUUUUUCUUAAAAUGCCUCAAGUUUAAGAAUUCUGUAUUUACUUGUAAUCUAGAUACUGGCCAGACUUGGAUCUAGAUGGUAGAAAAAUGACAGGAGUUGGAUAGAGACCAGAGCUAACGGUCUUGAAAUACAAACACGAGGGUUAGAAUCAAAAGAAAGAUCCAAACUUUUUACUUAACAUUCCCCAAGGCACCACUCUUAAACUGCCUCAUUUUGAACCAUGGGCGAGAAUGCAGCAGAGUGAAUAGAGCUGUGUUCAGCAUAACAGGUUUUCGUUGUGUUGAGGGAUGUGGCUGUGGAUCUCAUGUGGGAAAAGUGGAGCCUGUAGAAUCCUUAAAAGGAUCUGAACAUGCCAGGCACUGUGGUGUACAUCUGUAAUCCCAGCAGCUUGGGAAGCUAAGGCAGCAGGAUCUCAAGUUCAAAGCCAGCCUCAGUAAAAGCAAGGUUCUAAGCAACUCAGUGAGACCUGUCUAUAAAUAAAAUACAAAAUAGGGCUGGGGAUGUGGCUCAGUGGUCAAGUGCCCCUGAGUUCAAUCCCCAGUACCAAAAAAACAAAAAAACCAAACCUGUACAGGGAAGUGAUGGAGAACCAUAGCCACUGAUCUUACUGGGUGAUGAUGAUGGCUUCUGUUAAAACUUAAAAUCUGAUCCACUGAACAACUUAAACCCCUUGUGCUGAAAAGGUAGUGCAUAAAGCAGCUGCCAAACAUAACUGAAUUAGGAUUCAACUUGAAAACAAAGACAUGCUUUUCCACAUUCUCCCAGGGAAGGUCUGGAAUUUGUGUGUGUGUGUGUGUGUGUGUGUGUACACUUGACAGUAGGUACAUAGAUGCGUGUGUGUGCAUGCAUGCCUGCAUAUACUAUUUUUCAGGCCUUUUCCCCCAGCUGGGUUUUCUUAGGUAAUCUUGAUUCAAGUGGAAGAUUUUUGUUCACCCAGUAAGGAGUAGAUUCGGUGUGCUCUCUUGCUAAUCUGAGGCUCCCUUCCCUUUCCACUGCUAGAGCUCACCCUUCUGAGGUCUUUCUUGCUGCACUCUGGACACCUCUACCCUGAAAUGGUACCAUAAGUACAUAACCUACAAUUGCCUCAUUGUAUUUCUCUAUGAACAGAAAUUUCACUUGUCUGAACCCAAACUUCUCACUCAGCUGGAGCUGUCCAGAAGUUACCUUAGGCCCCUAUCUAGGUGAAGGGGAGCUCAAUCCAGUGACACAGCAGUCAGCAGGUAACACAUUGAGGUAUGGAGAAGAAAGCUGUUCUCUUGGCAUCCUCUUGGCUAUUCUCUUGGCUGCUAUUUACACUGCUCAGCCCUAUAACUUAGUCUGCCAUAACAAAAUACCAUAGGUUGGGUGGCUUAAGUGAUAGAAAUUUAUCUUCUCACAGCUCUGGAGGCUGGAAGUCUGAAAUAAGAGUUUAAGUAUGGUUGGGUUCUGGUGAGGGCCCUCUUCCUGGCAUGCAGUUGGCCAUCUUCUUGCUAUACCCUCUUAUGGUACAGAGAAAGGUUCUUCACUCUCUGGUGUCUUUUAUAAGGGCACUAAUCCAACCCAUCAUGAAGGCCCAUUCUCAUGACCUAAUCAAAAUCUAAUUGUCUUCAUAGGCUCCAUUUUCAAAUUUUGUAGCAUAGGAAGUUAAGCUUCUAAGUAGGACUUUUGGGUGAUCAUAAUUCAAUCCAUAGCAUCUUGCUUCCUUUCUAAGCUUUCAUCUUUAACCAAGAGAAGAUUUUGUGGUCUACUGUGUCCCCUUCCUCCAUUGGGAAACUGCCCUUUCUGUUACUACUUGACCUCUCUAGCUUAUACUCUAUUUAUAUACUUCAGUCUCCCUGAUCUUAAAGGUUCACAAACUUUGGGUGCCAAAGAUUGCCCAAGAAAUUGUAUUGAGUAUCUAUCCCACCUGUGUUCUGAUCCAAAAGUUUGGACUUGGGAUAUCUGGUCCCAAUUAUUUGUGAUUAUAGGUAAGUUACUUGCCUGCUCAAAGUUGGUCAAGAUCAUGGUUUUCAGUUAUAAAAAUAAAAGUGAAACUUUUGAUGACACUGAAUACUUCUUAAUUAUUAAAGACCAAA